AGCCCCAUAGUCUAGUGGUCAAGGACAGCGGGCUCUGAACCCGCUAACGCCAGUUCGAAUCUGGCUGGGGCUA
This 73-nucleotide transfer RNA is filed under the name Microcaldota archaeon. RNAcentral describes it as "tRNA-Gln". It matches the Rfam family "tRNA". Rfam says of the family: Transfer RNA (tRNA) molecules are approximately 80 nucleotides in length. Their secondary structure includes four short double-helical elements and three loops (D, anti-codon, and T loops). Further hydrogen bonds mediate the characteristic L-shaped molecular structure. tRNAs have two regions of fundamental functional importance: the anti-codon, which is responsible for specific mRNA codon recognition, and the 3' end, to which the tRNAs corresponding amino acid is attached (by aminoacyl-tRNA synthetases). tRNAs cope with the degeneracy of the genetic code in two manners: having more than one tRNA (with a specific anti-codon) for a particular amino acid; and 'wobble' base-pairing, i.e. permitting non-standard base-pairing at the 3rd anti-codon position. The record is from RNAcentral. Lineage: Archaea; Nanobdellati; Microcaldota.